Molecule: non-coding RNA, 1132 nt
Organism: Rattus norvegicus (Norway rat)
Lineage: Eukaryota; Metazoa; Chordata; Mammalia; Rodentia; Muridae
Source: RefSeq, a predicted model, not a curated record
GUCACAGAGAACUUCAACCAGGGUCCAGCAGGGUUAACAGGGCAUGAGUGGUCAGAAUUGGGGAGGGCAUGCCCACGGUGAAUAGAAGGCACAGGUCAACAGGGCUGUGGCCUCACCCUGGUGAUCCCAGCAGAGCAGCUCUGCCUCCUGCAGGAAGCUCAGGCCAGGGUGUAGGUCUGCAACAUCCUGGAGGCAGUUGGGGAUGUAUGGUGCUUACACAACCACGAGGAGGGGCCUGAACCAUGGGGCGGAACCUGGGUGUCAGGGGCGUGGCCAUAAACCACAAGACACUUCAGGGUUUGAAUUAGGGGCGUGACCUCUGCGUGAGUGACCAGGGAAUGGCUUAGGGACAAGACGUGGCCUGGCCCAGUGGGUGUGGCCAACACAAAAUCACACCGUGGGAGAACCGGACAAAAACAGUGAGGCCCUGUCUGCUGUGGAACUUAACCUUAAGCUGGGUCUGGAACACUGUUGCUGUCUCCUGCCCCGCCCACUGCUACCCUGGACUGGAAUAUAAGGAGCAGCACAGAGAUGACUUCAACCCUGCGUGACAGACGACCACUGCACGGCUCUGUAACCUGAAGGUGGGCAGGUUCGACCCCGGGCGCUGCUACGACUUCUGGGUGCCUGUGACGCCCCACAGAUGUGGCCAGCCUGCCAUGGGUGGGGCCCGUGGGUUCAGACUGGGUGAUGUGGGGUCCCAGGGUUUGGUGGUUAUGUCAUGGUUUAUACACUGAUGGAUAGCCUGGUGGGCAGGGCUCAGGCGUGAGUUCGUGGUGUUGGUUGAUGCUCCAGUCAACAGGGAGCAGGCAGGGCCUGGCAAUGACAUCAUUGGUCUUGGGACUCCAGGGACAGACGGGAGUGGCCGGGGCAUGAAGGUGAUGUCAUUACCACAAAAGAUUGACAGCCAGUGGGGAGGGCUUAUGGAUGAUGUCACCAAGGUGCGGUUUCAGAGGUUAUUGGUUGACAGGAGAACCAAGACCUACAAGCAAGGGGCGAGGCCUGGCGAUUAUGUCACAGGCUCAUAAAUGAGGGACAUACGGGUGGGGUUUAGCAAUGACAUCACUGUAGUCACAGAGAUUACUGAAGGGCAGGUGUGGUGAGGGUCGGCAUCUUCUCACGUGGCCCUGCC